Molecule: ribosomal RNA, 419 nt
Filed under: uncultured Chryseobacterium sp.
Lineage: Bacteria; Pseudomonadati; Bacteroidota; Flavobacteriia; Flavobacteriales; Weeksellaceae
Description: bacterial SSU rRNA
Rfam family: Bacterial small subunit ribosomal RNA
Source: RNAcentral
GGAAUAUUGGACAAUGGGUGAGAGCCUGAUCCAGCCAUCCCGCGUGAAGGACGACGGUUCUAUGGAUUGUAAACUUCUUUUAUAUAGGGAUAAACCUUUCUACGUGUAGAAAGCUGAAGGUACUAUAUGAAUAAGCACCGGCUAACUCCGUGCCAGCAGCCGCGGUAAUACGGAGGGUGCAAGCGUUAUCCGGAUUUAUUGGGUUUAAAGGGUCCGUAGGCGGAUCUGUAAGUCAGUGGUGAAAUCUCAUAGCUUAACUAUGAAACUGCCAUUGAUACUGCAGGUCUUGAGUAAAGUAGAAGUGGCUGGAAUAAGUAGUGUAGCGGUGAAAUGCAUAGAUAUUACUUAGAACACCAAUUGCGAAGGCAGGUCACUAUGUUUUAACUGACGCUGAUGGACGAAAGCGUGGGGAGCGAACA